This 314-nucleotide small RNA is filed under the name Arabidopsis thaliana (thale cress). Its description in RNAcentral is "ATSL167720". Lineage: Eukaryota; Viridiplantae; Streptophyta; Magnoliopsida; Brassicales; Brassicaceae. The record is from RNAcentral.
ACUAAUAAUGUAAAUAGGGAAGUCUUCUGUGCAAAUUUCCACUUCUGUAAACUUGAAAGCGUCAUGGACUUUACUGGCCCGAUACCGGUGUCGAUUCACUCUCACUGAAUCUGGAACCGAAAUCGUCCUUAACUUUCUUCUCCUUAGCUUUUGCUCCAAAAUGUCUCCUCAUCUCCAUUGUAGUCCUUCCUCAUAUAAUAACUGAAAAGACUCUAAAAAGACUCGAGAAAUAACAAAAAGACUCAAAAUCCUAUACCUAAAACAUAGAUAAAAUCAAUAAAAAUAGGGUUAUAUCAAACAAUCAAAUAGAAAGA